RNAcentral lists this ribosomal RNA (1675 nucleotides) under Escherichia coli 2-052-05_S4_C2. RNAcentral's name for it is "bacterial LSU rRNA". It matches the Rfam family "Bacterial large subunit ribosomal RNA", at positions 1270 to 2925 of the family's 2925-position model. The record is from RNAcentral. Lineage: Bacteria; Pseudomonadati; Pseudomonadota; Gammaproteobacteria; Enterobacterales; Enterobacteriaceae.
AUGCUGGAGGUAUCAGAAGUGCGAAUGCUGACAUAAGUAACGAUAAAGCGGGUGAAAAGCCCGCUCGCCGGAAGACCAAGGGUUCCUGUCCAACGUUAAUCGGGGCAGGGUGAGUCGACCCCUAAGGCGAGGCCGAAAGGCGUAGUCGAUGGGAAACAGGUCAAUAUUCCUGUACUUGGUGUUACUGCGAAGGGGGGACGGAGAAGGCUAUGUUGGCCGGGCGACGGUUGUCCCGGUUUAAGCGUGUAGGCUGGUUUUCCAGGCAAAUCCGGAAAAUCAAGGCUGAGGCGUGAUGACGAGGCACUACGGUGCUGAAGCAACAAAUGCCCUGCUUCCAGGAAAAGCCUCUAAGCAUCAGGUAACAUCAAAUCGUACCCCAAACCGACACAGGUGGUCAGGUAGAGAAUACCAAGGCGCUUGAGAGAACUCGGGUGAAGGAACUAGGCAAAAUGGUGCCGUAACUUCGGGAGAAGGCACGCUGAUAUGUAGGUGAAGUCCCUCGCGGAUGGAGCUGAAAUCAGUCGAAGAUACCAGCUGGCUGCAACUGUUUAUUAAAAACACAGCACUGUGCAAACACGAAAGUGGACGUAUACGGUGUGACGCCUGCCCGGUGCCGGAAGGUUAAUUGAUGGGGUCAGCGCAAGCGAAGCUCUUGAUCGAAGCCCCGGUAAACGGCGGCCGUAACUAUAACGGUCCUAAGGUAGCGAAAUUCCUUGUCGGGUAAGUUCCGACCUGCACGAAUGGCGUAAUGAUGGCCAGGCUGUCUCCACCCGAGACUCAGUGAAAUUGAACUCGCUGUGAAGAUGCAGUGUACCCGCGGCAAGACGGAAAGACCCCGUGAACCUUUACUAUAGCUUGACACUGAACAUUGAGCCUUGAUGUGUAGGAUAGGUGGGAGGCUUUGAAGUGUGGACGCCAGUCUGCAUGGAGCCGACCUUGAAAUACCACCCUUUAAUGUUUGAUGUUCUAACGUGGACCCGUGAUCCGGGUUGCGGACAGUGUCUGGUGGGUAGUUUGACUGGGGCGGUCUCCUCCUAAAGAGUAACGGAGGAGCACGAAGGUUGGCUAAUCCUGGUCGGACAUCAGGAGGUUAGUGCAAUGGCAUAAGCCAGCUUGACUGCGAGCGUGACGGCGCGAGCAGGUGCGAAAGCAGGUCAUAGUGAUCCGGUGGUUCUGAAUGGAAGGGCCAUCGCUCAACGGAUAAAAGGUACUCCGGGGAUAACAGGCUGAUACCGCCCAAGAGUUCAUAUCGACGGCGGUGUUUGGCACCUCGAUGUCGGCUCAUCACAUCCUGGGGCUGAAGUAGGUCCCAAGGGUAUGGCUGUUCGCCAUUUAAAGUGGUACGCGAGCUGGGUUUAGAACGUCGUGAGACAGUUCGGUCCCUAUCUGCCGUGGGCGCUGGAGAACUGAGGGGGGCUGCUCCUAGUACGAGAGGACCGGAGUGGACGCAUCACUGGUGUUCGGGUUGUCAUGCCAAUGGCACUGCCCGGUAGCUAAAUGCGGAAGAGAUAAGUGCUGAAAGCAUCUAAGCACGAAACUUGCCCCGAGAUGAGUUCUCCCUGACUCCUUGAGAGUCCUGAAGGAACGUUGAAGACGACGACGUUGAUAGGCCGGGUGUGUAAGCGCAGCGAUGCGUUGAGCUAACCGGUACUAAUGAACCGUGAGGCUUAACCUU